This 24-nucleotide non-coding RNA is filed under the name Mus musculus (house mouse). The record is from RNAcentral. Lineage: Eukaryota; Metazoa; Chordata; Mammalia; Rodentia; Muridae. RNAcentral also lists the same sequence under 4 other names.
GUGAACCUGCGGAAGGAUCAUUAC